This 490-nucleotide ribosomal RNA is filed under the name uncultured bacterium. Its description in RNAcentral is "bacterial SSU rRNA". It matches the Rfam family "Bacterial small subunit ribosomal RNA", at positions 36 to 518 of the family's 1533-position model. The record is from RNAcentral.
CUAGCGGCGAGGCCUAACACAUGCAAGUCGCGGGGCGAGCACGGGUAGCAUACCUGGUGGCGACCGGCGCACGGGUGCGUAACGCGUAUGCAACCUGCCCCCAUCAGGGGAAUAGCCCGCCGAAAGGCGGAUUAAUGCCCCAUAGGCCCAGGGCGCCGCAUGGCGCUAUGGGUAAAGCUCCGGCGGAUGGGGAUGGGCAUGCGUGCCAUUAGCUAGUUGGGGCGGUAACGGCGCACCAAGGCGACGAUGGCUAGGGGGUCUGAGAGGAUGGUCCCCCACACUGGUACUGAGACACGGACCAGACUCCUACGGGAGGCAGCAGUGAGGAAUAUUGGUCAAUGGGCGGAAGCCUGAACCAGCCAUGCCGCGUGCAGGAUGACGGCCCUACGGGUUGUAAACUGCUUUUCCCCGGGAAGAAUAAGCCCCUCGUGAGGGGGUGAUGCCGGUACCGGGGGGAAUAAGGAUCGGCUAACUCCGUGCCAGCAGCCGC